AGUGAACGCUGGCGGUAGGCCUAACACAUGCAAGUCGAACGGCAGCACAGUAAGAGCUUGCUCUUACGGGUGGCGAGUGGCGGACGGGUGAGGAAUACAUCGGAAUCUACUUUUUCGUGGGGGAUAACGUAGGGAAACUUACGCUAAUACCGCAUACGACCUACGGGUGAAAGCAGGGGAUCUUCGGACCUUGCGCGCUUGUAUGAGCCGAUGUCGGAUUAGCUAGUUGGCGGGGUAAACGCCCACCAAGGCGACGAUCCGUAGCUGGUCUGAGAGGAUGAUCAGCCACACUGGAACUGAGACACGGUCCAGACUCCUACGGGAGGCAGCAGUGGGGAAUAUUGGACAAUGGGCGCAAGCCUGAUCCAGCCAUACCGCGUGGGUGAAGAAGGCCUUCGGGUUGUAAAGCCCUUUUGUUGGGAAAGAAAAGCAGCAGGUUAAUACCCCGCUGUUCUGACGGUACCCAAAGAAUAAGCACCGGCUAACUUCGUG
RNAcentral lists this ribosomal RNA (492 nucleotides) under uncultured bacterium. RNAcentral's name for it is "partial 16S ribosomal RNA". It matches the Rfam family "Bacterial small subunit ribosomal RNA", at positions 29 to 507 of the family's 1533-position model. The record is from RNAcentral.